RNAcentral lists this ribosomal RNA (494 nucleotides) under uncultured bacterium. RNAcentral describes it as "partial 16S ribosomal RNA". It matches the Rfam family "Bacterial small subunit ribosomal RNA", at positions 28 to 507 of the family's 1533-position model. The record is from RNAcentral.
GACGAACGCUGGCGGCGUGCUUAACACAUGCAAGUCGAACGGUGAAGCGCCUUCCUUUUUGGUGGGUGUGGAUGAGUGGCGAACGGGUGAGUAACACGUGAGUAACCUGCCCCCUUCUUCUGGAUAACCGCAUGAAAGUGUGGCUAAUACGGGAUAUUCUGGGUCUGUCGCAUGAUGGGUCUGGGAAAGAUAUUGUUUCGGUGGGGGAUGGGCUCGCGGCCUAUCGGCUUGUUGGUGGGGUGAUGGCCUACCAAGGCGGUGACGGGUAGCCGGCCUGAGAGGGUGGGCGGUCACACUGGGACUGAGACACGGCCCAGACUCCUACGGGAGGCAGCAGUGGGGAAUAUUGCACAAUGGGCGCAAGCCUGAUGCAGCGACGCCGCGUGAGGGAUGGAGGCCUUCGGGUUGUGAACCUCUUUCGCCAGUGAAGCAGGCCUGCCUCGUUUGUGGGUGGGUUGACGGUAGCUGGAUAAGAAGCGCCGGCUAACUACGUG